This 1714-nucleotide long non-coding RNA is filed under the name Marmota monax (woodchuck). The record is from RNAcentral. Lineage: Eukaryota; Metazoa; Chordata; Mammalia; Rodentia; Sciuridae.
GUUUUAUUACUUCCUUCCAUCUAUUUCCUCUCUAAUUCUAUAGGAAGAACAGCUUGAAGCCAUGUAAUUGGAAAGCCUUCACAGAAGAAAUGACAGAACUGAAUUUGAGCCCUAAAGUGCAACAUGGGAGAAGAACUGAUAAAUUACCACAACACACACACCAAUUUGUAAUGUACUUCUGAUGGUAUUACAGGGCAAGGGCCCAUUACGGAGUGGGAACAGCCACAGCAGUCUUCGGGUGCCAGCUCUUGUGAUUCUGCUAGAAAGAAUUCAAACACAACAGAGUAGCAAGCAAACGUUUAAUAGAAUGUGGAAGGAAGGAACUGCAUGGACCACUUGGAAGAGAAGAUGGGUGAUGCUCACAGAAUUUGAGUUUUAAUAAAAUUGAGUCCCCCUGUUCAUGCCUCAAUUUCUCUGCCACCAUAAUCAGCUUAUUAGGUUUUGGAUGGCCCUCAGCAAACUUCCUUUGUGUGGAUCUUGAUGACCUGGUUGCCAGGGUGAUUGGGUGGUUGUGACACCAGUGAGUGAUAAGAACAGGUCUGGUGACUUGGUUAUUGGAGAUAAUGAUGACAUUGUCUGAAACGGUAGUUUCCCUGGAGGGGCUAUAAUUAACUAUAAUUGAGGAAGGGCUUGACAUGUCAGUAGCUAUGUAAUAGCUUUUCUGAAGAUUGUCUUCUUCAACUAGGGUUCCCUAUGAUUUUAAGUAAUAGUUUCCUUGAGAGGCUAUUCUUAUCUACAACGUGGGGAAGGUUGGGCAUUCCAGCUGUCAUUCCUCAAAUGCUUGCCUGUUUUGUUAAAGUUCCUUAGGCCAAAGUAACUCCAUUUUGAAAAUGAGCACCUGCCUACCCAGACAUGACCUUCCUGUUAGGCCUGCCCCCCAAAAGUCCCUAACUACCGAAAUCACAACCAAGACAUCAAGUAACAGUCACAGGACCAGAUGUAUUAUUUUUAACUACUUCACUGUACAUGACUAUAUAGUUAAGAAGUUUGUUUGUUUGUUUUUUUUCCAGCAGGCUGCUGUACCUUGAACAAAGAUAUUCUCAGAGAUGUGUCUCUUGAGGAUAUUUGCAAAGGCUACCCUAAUAUUCUGGAGCUGAACCCGGGAGGGGCAUCCACAGUCAUUACCUGCUGGCUCUCCCUUCACAGGGAUCAGAGCUGCCUUCACGGUGCCAGUUCUCCCUGGCCAAUAUUCAAGAUAGGGCAUGUCUGCCUCUUGCUGUUACUGACCUCCUUGCCCACCACAGAAUUUGACUCUUAACAGCCUUCCCUCUCUACCAGUGAUGAGUUCUCAGAACCCUUCUGCAGUGGCCCUGAGCGCUUUCUCUCUCUCUCUCUCCCUCUCCCCUCUCCCCUCUCCCCUUAAAUCCUGGCGCUGGGUCAGGGCCUCCCCCUGCUUCUGCCCUUCUACUUGGGUCCUGUCAGGGACAGUGACGACCCUCACUGACAAUCUGCUCCUACGUGGGAAAUCAAAGAGGUUGUGGGGACGCCCCUUCCUCUCCUGAUUCCCUUCUCUGGGCUUCUGAGAAGUCUUUGCCAUGGGCUCUGCCAGAUCUAAAAUUCCCCGCCACUCCCGCCUCAGCUGUCUCCUCAAAAAACACUGGCCUCUCCAUUCGACUUCAGAUCUCAAACCUCGGGAGCUCAUUUUCUAUUGUAACACAACCUGGCCCCAAUAUAAAUUAGAUAAUGAUUCCUCUUGACCCAGGGGAAUGGGACU